GUGGGGAAUUUUGGACAAUGGGCGAAAGCCUGAUCCAACCAUGCCGCGUGCAGGAUGAAGGCCUUCGGGUUGUAAACUGCUUUUGUACGGAACGAAAAGACUCUGGUUAAUACCUGGGGUCCAUGACGGUACCGUAAGAAUAAGCACCGGCUAACUACGUGCCAGCAGCCGCGGUAAUACGUAGGGUGCAAGCGUUAAUCGGAACUACUGGGCGUAAAGCGUGCGCAGGCGGUUAUAUAAGACAGAAGUGAAAUCCCCGGGCUCAACCUGGGAACUGCAUUUGUGAAUGUAUAGCUAGAGUACGGCAGAGGGGGAUGGAAUUCCGCGUGUAGCAGUGAAAUGCGUAGAUAUGCGGAGGAACACCGAUGGCGAAGGCAAUCCCCUGGGCCUGUACUGACGCUCAUGCACGAAAGCGUGGGGAGCAAACAGGAUUAGAAACCCCAGUAGUCC
Molecule: ribosomal RNA, 450 nt
Filed under: uncultured bacterium
Lineage: Bacteria
Description: partial 16S ribosomal RNA
Rfam family: Bacterial small subunit ribosomal RNA
Source: RNAcentral